GAUGAACGCUGGCGGCGUGCCUAAUACAUGCAAGUCGAGCGAAGAAACGAGGAACUUGCUCCUCUGACGUUAACGGCGGACGGGUGAGGAACACGUGGGGAAACUACCGAGAAGACUAGGAUAACUUCGGGAAACCGUAGCUAAGACCGGAUAAUAUAUUUAACAUCAUAGUUCAAUAUUGAAAAACUGAUUUACUUUCAAUUAUAGAUGGAUCCGGGCCGCAUUAGCUAGUUUGUAAGGGAACGGCUUGCCAAGGCAACGAUGCGUAGCCGACACGAACGGGAGAUCGGCCACCCUGGAACUGAGACACGGCCCAGACUCCUAAGGGAGGACGCAGUCGGGAAUCUUCCGCAAUGCGCGAAAGCCUAACGGAGCACAGUCGAGUGAGUGCUGAAGGUCUUAGGAUCCUAAAACUCUGUUAUUAGGGAAGACCAAAUGUGUAAGUAAAUAUGCACGUCUUGACGGUACCUUAUCAGAAAGCCACGGCUAAAUACGUG
Molecule: ribosomal RNA, 497 nt
Filed under: uncultured bacterium
Lineage: Bacteria
Description: partial 16S ribosomal RNA
Rfam family: Bacterial small subunit ribosomal RNA
Source: RNAcentral